RNAcentral lists this ribosomal RNA (246 nucleotides) under Verticillium longisporum. RNAcentral describes it as "partial 18S ribosomal RNA". The stretch from base 1 to 68 matches the Rfam family "Eukaryotic small subunit ribosomal RNA", at positions 1764 to 1831 of the family's 1831-position model. The record is from RNAcentral. Lineage: Eukaryota; Fungi; Ascomycota; Sordariomycetes; Glomerellales; Plectosphaerellaceae.
CUUGGUCAUUUAGAGGAAGUAACAGUCGUAACAAGGUCUCCGUUGGUGAACCAGCGGAGGGAUCAUUGCCGAGUAUCUACUCAUAACCCUUUGUGAACCAUAUUGUUGCUUCGGCGGCUCGUUCUGCGAGCCCGCCGGUCCAUCAGUCUCUCUGUUUAUACCAACGAUACUUCUGAGUGUUCUUAGCGAGCUAUUAAAACUUUUAACAACGGAUCUCUUGGCUCUAGCAUCGAUGAAGAACGCAGC